Molecule: ribosomal RNA, 429 nt
Filed under: Chloroflexota bacterium
Lineage: Bacteria; Bacillati; Chloroflexota
Description: Chloroflexi bacterium partial 16S ribosomal RNA
Rfam family: Bacterial small subunit ribosomal RNA
Source: RNAcentral
UGGGGAAUAUUGCACAAUGGGCGCAAGCCUGAUGCAGCCAUGCCGCGUGUGUGAAGAAGGCCUUCGGGUUGUAAAGUACUUUCAGCGGGGAGGAAGGUAGUAAAGUUAAUACCUUUGCUCAUUGACGUUACCCGCAGAAGAAGCACCGGCUAACUCCGUGCCAGCAGCCGCGGUAAUACGGAGGGUGCAAGCGUUAAUCGGAAUUACUGGGCGUAAAGCGCACGCAGGCGGUUAGUUAAGUCAGAUGUGAAAUCCUCGGGCUCAACCUGCGAACUGCAGUGGAUACUGGCAAGCUAGAGUCUAGUAGAGGGGGGUAGAAUUCCAGGUGUAGCGGUGAAAUGCGUAGAGAUCUGGAGGAAUACCGGUGGCGAAGGCGGCCCCCUGGACGAAGACUGACGCUCAGGUGCGAAAGCGUGGGGAGCAAACAGG